Drosophila nasuta is the source of this 4897-nucleotide long non-coding RNA. RefSeq lists it as uncharacterized. Lineage: Eukaryota; Metazoa; Arthropoda; Insecta; Diptera; Drosophilidae. The transcript is spliced from 3 exons. The record is from RefSeq and is a predicted model, not a curated record.
CGCAUUGUUGCCCAUUGUCCUAUUGUCCAUAUCCGGCCAGACAAUGCACAAAGCUUUGCAGCAACAGCCUCCCGAUCCAGAUCCUGAUCCUCAACCCUGAACUGACAGCGUAUAUAAACCACGGCUGCUGCGGAGAAUCAAUCAGUUUCAUUUCAAUCUUCAAACGCUGAGGAUCAACAGCAGCAGCAGCAGGAGCAGCAGCUACAGCGGCACAAGGAGCAGCCAAGGACUUUGUGUGGAUCAGCAACAGAUCCUCCAUCCUGCAGCGCCAUGCUCUGGCAGCGCUAAGCAGGCUGUUGCACGUGGCAUUACCAACACAACCAAAAAUCUCAAGAAACCUUUCAAGUUUACUUUCAACCGUUCCGAAAAACACAAACUCAAAAAAGCCCAAAAUCAAAUCAACAAUUUCAACAAAGUUAUUAACAAAAUAAAAACCAAAAAUAUAACUACAUAAAACUAAACCCAAAUCACAUCACCGAAAGUCAGAUUAAUUUUUACAUUCAAUUAAAAACACAAACAAAAAUAGUUAAAGUAAAAUAUUGAUUUUACUCAAUUGUGCGACAACAUUAAACCAUAAAAUAAAAUAAAAAGGACUCAACAGGCACACAUAUUGAAAUUCCAUAAUAAAUCAAACAAAAGCAAUUUCAAUAGCAGAAUAUACAGACAAAUCGUAUAAAAAAAAAUAAUAAAUUUUAAAUAAAUUCUAUUGAAAAGUGCACACAGCUUGACAUCAAUUGGAAAGUUUUCAAAGCAAAAACCAGCAACAGACGACAAAGGAAUUAUCGCAGAGAUAUUAAUAUUAUUUUUUUAUAUAUUUUACAGGACCCUUAAAAGAAGUUUAGUUCAACUCAAGCUAAACUAGCAUGGAUCAAACAACAAUACCAAAUACUAUUCGAUUUCAUGAAAAUUGUUAUGAAACUCAAAGAAAUUUAUAAAUGUCUAUUGCUCAUUUUCCUCUACUGCAAUGACACUCAAAAUCCGAAAUUAAGCAAUCAAAAGACGUCAAAAUUCCAAAAACCACAACAUCAACAUCGAAAUUAUAAAAGCCUUGAUAAACUGAAAUGCUACUGCCGGCAGCUCAGCUCCGUUGCAUUGUGCCCCAAACAAGAGACCAGGCCAGCAAAUCACACAGAAUCCCGACAAAAAAUGCAAGGAAGGAAACCAAAAUUCAAAUUUAGCCAGCAACAGCAAAUUCAAUACUCGCAAAGCAAAGCACAAAUGCAGCACGCUAAUGAUAAUGAAACGACGACCACGAGGAUCAAGCAUUUGACGGCGAAAAAGGAGCAAGGAGCGACAGCAGAGGCAACAACAGCGACGUUGGCAGCGAACAGUAGCAUCGACAGCGACUGCGACUGCGGCAGCAACGUCGACCGACAGUUAUCUAAGGCAGCAGCUAAACGGGGAGAAAGUUACCCCGCCAUAGAUAUUUGGCUGAAUAUCUAAACAGGGGCAAAUGCCCCACACAAGCACAAGCAUAAGCACAAGCCCAAGCAAAAACAGUAGCAGCAGCAACCCCCUCGACAGGAAGCAAAUUCAAAUACAAAUCCAAACACACAAACACACACCCCAAGCACACUACACUACCAUUCAAGCUAAGCUACUACGGCGAAUUCAAAACACACACACGAACACACACAUACAGGCCCACAGCCGACAAAGAGCGCAACCAGCAAAAGAGAGCGCGAGAGCGUGAGAGAACGAAAGUGAGCAGGCGGCAACAUGAGAGCACCUUUGGCAAUCCAAAAAGCACACAACAAAAUCCAACAAUUUCGCAAAGCUCGCUAAAAACAAAAUCAAAAUUUUCACCUUUCGGCUACUCUGGCAUGCAUCAAAAUCCAACAAAAUUUUAUGGCCAUACGGACACAAAAUUCAAAACCCAUAGCACAAAUUCCAGCACUUAUAAUAUUUAAAUAGGUCAAUUUUAAAAAUGCACAAACAAACCCAUUUAAACCCAAACGAAACUGCUGAAAACAAAUAUUUCGUUUUAUGAGACAAAAUCAACAUCUCAAGUAAAUUAAACGCCAUUUAAAAUCAGUAAAUAUCAGAAAUACAAAAUAAGGAAGAGCCUCCUCAGAAAUCAUUUCAAAAGUUCAAAACCAACCUAAAAAUGAAGUCGAAAGUCGCAGCAUUCGGAAGCCCUUAGGCGCAUAAUUAUAACACAUUAAGAUGACAAAUUACAACGAAAUUCCCCCCAAAAAGCCAGAAUAUAAAUUACAAGAAGUAACGGAAGUUUUAAUGCGACAAAAGUCAAGAACAAAAAAGAAAUACUACAAAAUCCUAAAACAAAACAAAAAAAAAGUAAAAAUAAUAAUAAAAGAAUAAGGGCACCAAAUGCAGACGCUGGCAAGACGACAACGAUGCAAUUGUUCUGGCAACUUUCUGGCCAAAAAUCUUACAAAUGGCGGACGACUCACAGGCAGCUAAAAUAGGACAAGGCAGAUAAAUCAACGCGAAACAAAACAAUUCCGAACAAAAACAAGAACAACAGCCACGCGAUUAUAUGUAUUUGUAGUAAAAACUUUUUGUUUAGAAGAAGGGGUUGAAAUUGAAAAGCAGCUCAGCAGCCAAAUUCAUAAACCAAACGAAAACCAAAACCAAAUCUCACACACAUACACAAAAAAACAACACACACACAUAUACAAAUACACACCGAAAAUUAUAGACAAAGCUAAAGAUAUUCUGGAUAACUCAAAAUUGUACAAAAGCGUUUCGAAGAGACAAAACCUAAACCAAAAGAAAAAAACAAAACUUAAACAAAAUAGAGAAGAACCUGCCAGUUGAAUCGAAAUCAAAAUCCAAUUCAAAAUCCGCAUCCGAAUGAGAAUCAGAAUCAGAAUCAGAAUCAAAAUCAAAAUCAAAAUCAAAGGCGACAAAUGAAAACAAAACCAGCAGAUGCAGAAACAACUUUAAGCAACAACUAGAUACUUAUGCGAAGGACACACAUGUCAGGCACAACACACAUCACACAGACAACACACAUCCCAUACCCCAUAACCCUCCAGAACUUACCCCGGUGACCCCUUCAAAUUGUGGUUAGGUUAGUUUUCUUUAGCAAAAGUUCGAACCAACAUCAACCAACAGCAGCAUCAGCAAAACGAAACGAAAAGCAUCAUCAUCAUUAUCAUCUUCAGUUGAAAGCACAUCAAACAAAACUUGGCAAUAGACGGGGUCGAGACAUAAUUGCUAUCAAUAAAUAAAAUAUGGCUGUCAUCAGGGGAAAGGGGUAACAAGAGGUAGACAGGGAGUUGGGAGACAGUCAAGCAGCUAUUUCAGCCAACUCUCAAACCAGCAAAGCCAUCUUCAAACUCCAACGACCACUAGACGCAGACACAAUUUUGAUUUAUAAAUUCAUUGCGAAAGUUGCUUGGCCAAGCGGCAGCAGCAACAGACUCACAGCAACAACUCCAGAAAUAGCAAAAACAACAUCACCAAAAUACCAUCGAAAGUCUUGGCAAAAAAACAACAAAAUCAACAACAACAUUGAGCUAAAAUCGUCUUUCUUUAUGAAAUUACACAUUUCCGACUUGUACAACGAGGACAUUGAAGCAGAAGCCAAAAAAGCAUCAUCAAACAACUACUUCUAUGAAAAUUUCACCACCCGAAUGAAAAAGGCCAACAAGUUUCAUAUCAAAAAGCAAACACACGGGUUAACUGACAAAUUUACUUUUUAGAUUCUUAUGAAAAUGGGGAAAUUCUUUAGCUAGCUACUUUUGGCACAGAAGCACAUUGACAAAACAAACGUUAAAUGCAUUUUGGAAAUCUGCAAAAUCAUUAAGAAACACUAGCACGACAACAACAAUUGUAGCAAAUGGACACUUGUACAAUAGUUCUAUUGAAAAUCAUUUCAAAAACAACGAAAACACAAAACGACAAAAAACAUUACUUAGGAUCUAUGCAAAGAGAGACAACAACAAACAAAAAUGAAAAAGAAAAGAAAAGAGAAAUUGAAAACGAGAAAAACUAGAAUCAUUAAACAUUUCGGACACAAGGUUGGGGAUACCUAGUGUAAUUGCUUAGACUUAAGAGUGUUGUACUUGCAGGAAGACAAGUGCAAGACCCAAGCCAGGGCCAACUUAGUUAGCCAAGUUAGAUAGAACAAAACAAAAUAAAAAAUCCAACACCCGAUAUGUCAAAAUCAAAAAGUCUUUGAUAAAUGAACUUCUUAAGAAUUAUCCAUAAAUUUAAAUAAUGUAACUACACUCUGUAUCCCCUUAGUUAAGCUAAAAAAAAAAAGAAUACAAACAAAACAAAAAGCAAAUCAUACUAGCAAAAGCAAAAAAACGAAAUGGGUCAAAAAUGUAGAUAAUGCCAAUCCUUUUGUCUAAAAUGACAAUUCUUCUAAUCUUGCAUAUAUUUUAGACGAAACGAUUGUCGCAUUUUUUAUACACAUACAUUACAUAAUUUUAUAAUUAAUUACAAACAAUUUCUGUAUUAAUUUCGACAUUCUCCCGUCAUUAUAUUAUAAUCUCAUACUUAUACAUAUAUUUCAAAUAGGAUAAAUGUUGUCAGUUCUUUCGGUUUAUAUACUUUACAAACAUAUGUGAUAAGCAAAACUUUACAACUAAAACUAUAUAACUGUGUUAAAUAAUCUCUUUGAUGGAUCUAAAAAAAAAAAAACAAAACAAAAUGAAAAUUUAAAGAAAUAAUCUCUGUUCGCCUUAAGCAAAAUCUAUUUUUACUUAAAAAAUAUCUACUAGAAAUAUUUAAAUUACUUGUAUAAAUUCCAAUCAAACAGUACAAUAUUGUUAAAUCAAGAGAAAUAUUUUUAUGACCAUAUGCACUUUGUGAACAUUAAAAAUAGUAUUGUAUUCAUUUUUGACUAAAGCAAACAAACAAAAACACAAAAACAAAAAUCAAUAAAAUUGUACAAGCCAAUUUGCUCAAAUAACAAAAACAA